Non-coding RNA from Pelobates cultripes (western spadefoot toad), 230 nucleotides. The record is from the annotation of a GenBank genome assembly. Lineage: Eukaryota; Metazoa; Chordata; Amphibia; Anura; Pelobatidae.
AUAUGACCAGAAAUUCAGAUUACACAGCGAUUGGUGCAAGUGACACAUGACACACAGAAAGUGAAAAUAAAUCGACCUUCCUGUUCUCUAUUCAGCAAACAGCAGUGUUAUAAACCUGGCCGUAGGACAGAAAAAGUCUUUCUAACGAGCUACUUCCUCAAACUUCGACAAGUGCUGAGUGCGUUCCCGUGAAGCCAACGAUUCUAGAACUCAGGGAUUAAAAUGUUAAG